GUUUCUGUAGUUAAAUUUUUAUAACGGCGGCUUUUCGUGCCGCAGAUUUCGGAGAGAGGCCGAGCAGGAAUU
This 72-nucleotide transfer RNA is filed under the name Dicaeum chrysorrheum. RNAcentral describes it as "tRNA-Glu". The record is from RNAcentral. Lineage: Eukaryota; Metazoa; Chordata; Aves; Passeriformes; Dicaeidae.